GACGAACGCUGGCGGCGUGCUUAACACAUGCAAGUCGAGCGGUAAGGCCCUUUCGGGGGUACGACGAGCGGCGAACGGGUGAGUAACACGUGGGUGACCUGCCCUCAGCUCUGGGAUAAGCCUGGGAAACCGGGUCUAAUACUGGAUAUGACUCCAUGACGCAUGUUGUGGGGUGGAAAGCCUUGUGCGGCUGAGGAUGGGCCCGCGGCCUAUCAGCUUGUUGGUGGGGUGAUGGCCUACCAAGGCGACGACGGGUAGCCGGCCUGAGAGGGCGACCGGCCACACUGGGACUGAGACACGGCCCAGACUCCUACGGGAGGCAGCAGUGGGGAAUAUUGCGCAAUGGGCGUAAGCCUGACGCAGCGACGCCGCGUGGGGA
RNAcentral lists this ribosomal RNA (379 nucleotides) under uncultured bacterium. RNAcentral describes it as "bacterial SSU rRNA". It matches the Rfam family "Bacterial small subunit ribosomal RNA", at positions 28 to 407 of the family's 1533-position model. The record is from RNAcentral.